This 497-nucleotide ribosomal RNA is filed under the name uncultured bacterium. Its description in RNAcentral is "partial 16S ribosomal RNA". It matches the Rfam family "Bacterial small subunit ribosomal RNA", at positions 28 to 507 of the family's 1533-position model. The record is from RNAcentral.
GACGAACGCUGGCGGCGUGCCUAAUACAUGCAAGUAGAACGCUGAAGAGAGGAGCUUGCUCUUCUUGGAUGAGUUGCGAACGGGUGAGUAACGCGUAGGUAACCUGCCUUGUAGCGGGGGAUAACUAUUGGAAACGAUAGCUAAUACCGCAUAACAAUGGAUGACACAUGUCAUUUAUUUGAAAGGGGCAAUUGCUCCACUACAAGAUGGACCUGCGUUGUAUUAGCUAGUAGGUGAGGUAAUGGCUCACCUAGGCGACGAUACAUAGCCGACCUGAGAGGGUGAUCGGCCACACUGGGACUGAGACACGGCCCAGACUCCUACGGGAGGCAGCAGUAGGGAAUCUUCGGCAAUGGGGGCAGCCCUGACCGAGCAACGCCGCGUGAGUGAAGAAGGUUUUCGGAUCGUAAAGCUCUGUUGUAAGUCAAGAACGGGUGUGAGAGUGGAAAGUUCACACUGUGACGGUAGCUUACCAGAAAGGGACGGCUAACUACGUG